Molecule: ribosomal RNA, 811 nt
Filed under: uncultured Sulfolobales archaeon
Lineage: Archaea; Thermoproteati; Thermoproteota; Thermoprotei; Sulfolobales
Description: bacterial SSU rRNA
Rfam family: Archaeal small subunit ribosomal RNA
Source: RNAcentral
ACKGCUCAGUAACACGUGGCUAACCUACCCUCGAGACAGGGACAACCCCGGGAAACUGGGGCUAAUCCCAGAUAGAUGAGAAAACCUGGAAUGGGUUUUCGUCCAAAAGGCACCGCAGUUAUGCUCUGCAGUGUCGCUCAAGGAUGGGGCCGCGUCCGAUCAGGCUGUUGGUGAGGCAAUGGCUCACCAAACCUAUAACCGGUACGGGCCGUGGGAGCGGGAGCCCGGAGAUGGGAACUGAGACAAGGUCCCAGGCCCUACGGGGCGCAGCAGUUACGAAAACUUGUCAAUGCACGAAAGUGUGAACGGGCUACCCCGAGUGCCGUCCGCUGAGGAUGGCUUUUCUCUGCUGUAGAAAGGCGGAGGAAUAAGGCGAGGGCAAGUCUGGUGUCAGCCGCCGCGGUAAUACCAGCUCGCCGAGUGGUAGGGAUGAUUAUUGGGCUUAAAGCGUCCGUAGCCGGCCUUUCAAGUCUCUUGUUAAAUCCAACGAUUCAAUCGCUGGACUGCAGGAGAUACUGUUAGGCUAGGGGGCGGGAGAAGCCGACGGUAUUUUCGGGGUAGGGGUAAAAUCCUAUAAUCCCGGGAAGACCACCAGUGGCGUAGGCGGUCGGCUAGCACGCGCUCGACGGUGAGGGACGAAAGCUGGGGGAGCGAACCGGAUUAGAUACCCGGGUAGUCUCAGCUGUAAACGAUGCUGGCUAGGUGUUGAAGCGGCUACGAGCCGCUUCAGUGCCGCAGGGAAGCCAUUAAGCCAGCCGCCUGGGGAGUACGGCCGCAAGGCUGAAACUUAAAGGAAUUGGCGGGGGAGCAC